UGGUCAGCGUGCCUGCCUGUACCCCAGAGGUAAUGGGUUCAAGGCUCGUCGCUGCUAC
RNAcentral lists this microRNA precursor (58 nucleotides) under Ciona intestinalis (vase tunicate). RNAcentral's name for it is "miRNA (ENSCING00000018319.1)". Lineage: Eukaryota; Metazoa; Chordata; Ascidiacea; Phlebobranchia; Cionidae. The record is from RNAcentral.